RNAcentral lists this long non-coding RNA (549 nucleotides) under Phascolarctos cinereus (koala). Its description in RNAcentral is "lncRNA (ENSPCIG00000024923.2)". The record is from RNAcentral. Lineage: Eukaryota; Metazoa; Chordata; Mammalia; Diprotodontia; Phascolarctidae.
GCCCAGGGUUCUUUAUUUCACUAGGCUGGAUGACAACAACAUGGUCUGCAGGGUAUGGAAGCAGGGCCUUAGGAGGCAGUGUCAGGUUGGGAAAAAAUAGACUUAGUGACUCCUAUCUCAUCCAAGCUCUGUGAGCAGUCAUGCAUCCCAGAUGCAUUCUGGGAUGGCUUGGGUCCAGCUGAGGAGAAAAGGGAGAAGGGGAGGGUGCCUCUUUUCUCCUUCUCUCUGCUUGUGAGUCUUCCUGUCAACUUGGAAUCUCAGCCUCUAACACUCUGGAGAAGUCACAGAACCAAAGGACUGGAAAACAACAAGCCAAUGUCUUCCUUUGAAGACUGAGCUCCAAGAUAGACGAAUCCAACAAUCAAAUAUGUAUUGAGCACCUACAUUUGGUAAGGUCCAGUCUAGGCUCUGAGAGGGACCUAGAAGUGUCUACACCUCUUCCAGAAUAUUGGAGUCUAAUUGGGCAAACAAGGCAUAGACACAUGGAGAGAUAACUACGGAGACAAGGCAGUCAAUAAAGGGAAAUGACAUGUUGAGAGUUAAUAAAUC